This 254-nucleotide ribosomal RNA is filed under the name uncultured bacterium. RNAcentral describes it as "partial 16S ribosomal RNA". It matches the Rfam family "Bacterial small subunit ribosomal RNA", at positions 524 to 776 of the family's 1533-position model. The record is from RNAcentral.
UACGAAGGGAACUAGCGUUGUUCGGAAUCACUGGGCGUAAAGCGGGCGCAGGCGGACUAUCCAGUCAGGGGUGAAAGCCCAAGGCUUAACCUUGGAAUUGCCUUUGAAACUGAUAGUCUGGAGUGUGUGAGGGGGUAGCGGAAUUCCGAAUGUAGAGGUGAAAUUCGUAGAUAUUCGGAGGAACACCGGUGGCGAAGGCGGCUACCUGGCACACAACUGACGCUGAGGCCCGAAAGCGUGGGGAUCGAAACAGG